AUGCUAAAAAACAGUAUUCUCACAAAAGAUAACCUAGCCAAGAGAGGAUGGACCGGGAACCUACAAUGUCACUUUUGUGGGAAUGAAACAGUUGAUCAUUGGUUGUUCAAGUGGUCUUUAGCAAAACUAGUUUGGCAAGUGGUGAUAUGUGCUCUUGGCCUCGUCAGACCUUCUGAGGGGGUUUAUGAUUUCUUUGGAUCUUUGUUAAACUCCUUCUCUAGGGACCAACACAAUCCGGUGCUAAGUGGAGGGGCUGCAAUUCGGUGGACUAUUUGGAAAAUGAGGAAUGAUGUUUGCUUUCAUAGGAAGUUCCCAAAUGAUCCUUCUGCAAUGAUAUUCAGGUUGUGCAACAUCCUAGUCUCACAGGCAAUUUUGCAGAAAAGCCAAGAUUGAGGAAGUGUUGAAGAUGGAGUGGAGAUGAUCAAGACGGUGAUUGGAGGAGCAUACACUAGUAGAAAAGGGGGCAUUUGUCCCGGUUCAUAA
This 483-nucleotide ribosomal RNA is filed under the name Triticum aestivum (bread wheat). Its description in RNAcentral is "partial small subunit ribosomal RNA". Lineage: Eukaryota; Viridiplantae; Streptophyta; Magnoliopsida; Poales; Poaceae. The record is from RNAcentral.